Molecule: ribosomal RNA, 468 nt
Filed under: uncultured bacterium
Lineage: Bacteria
Description: partial 16S ribosomal RNA
Rfam family: Bacterial small subunit ribosomal RNA
Source: RNAcentral
GACGAACGCUGGCGGCGUGCUUAACACAUGCAAGUCGAACGGCAAGGCCCUGCUUUUGUGGUGUGCUCGAGUGGCAAACGGGUGAGUAACACGUGAAUAACCUGCCCUUGACUUUGGGAUAACUUCAGGAAACUGGGGCUAAUACCGGAUCGGAGCUCCUGCUGCAUGGUAGGGGUUGGAAAGUUUCGGCGGUUGGGGAUGGACUCGCGGCUGAUCAGCUUGUUGGUGGGGUAGUGGCUUACCAAGGCUUUGACGGGUAGCCGGCCUGAGAGGGUGACCGGCCACAUUGGGACUGAGAGACGGCGCAGACGCCUACGGGAGGCAGCAGGGGGGAAUAUUGCACAAUGGUCGGGAGCCUGAUGCAGCAACGCUGCGGGCGGGAUGACGGCCUGCGGGGUGUAAACAGCUUUCGCCUGUGACGAAGCGUGAGUGACGGUAAUGAGUAAAGAAGCACCGGCUAACUACGUG